RNAcentral lists this small nuclear RNA (20 nucleotides) under Arabidopsis thaliana (thale cress). RNAcentral's name for it is "snRNA_17894". The record is from RNAcentral. Lineage: Eukaryota; Viridiplantae; Streptophyta; Magnoliopsida; Brassicales; Brassicaceae.
AUCAUCUUCAGACAGAUGGG